UGGGGAAUUUUGGACAAUGGGGGAAACCCUGAUCCAGCCAUCCCGCGUGUGCGAUGAAGGCCUUCGGGUUGUAAAGCACUUUUGGCAGGAAAGAAACGUCAUGGGUUAAUACCCCGUGAAACUGACGGUACCUGCAGAAUAAGCACCGGCUAACUACGUGCCAGCAGCCGCGGUAAUACGUAGGGUGCAAGCGUUAAUCGGAAUUACUGGGCGUAAAGCGUGCGCAGGCGGUUCGGAAAGAAAGAUGUGAAAUCCCAGAGCUCAACUUUGGAACUGCAUUUUUAACUACCGGGCUAGAGUGUGUCAGAGGGAGGUGGAAUUCCGCGUGUAGCAGUGAAAUGCGUAGAUAUGCGGAGGAACACCGAUGGCGAAAGCAGCCUCCUGGGAUAACACUGACGCUAAUGCAAGAAAGCGUGGGGAGCAAACAGG
Molecule: ribosomal RNA, 429 nt
Filed under: Acidobacteriota bacterium
Lineage: Bacteria; Pseudomonadati; Acidobacteriota
Description: Acidobacteria bacterium partial 16S ribosomal RNA
Rfam family: Bacterial small subunit ribosomal RNA
Source: RNAcentral